Molecule: long non-coding RNA, 1419 nt
Organism: Lycium ferocissimum
Lineage: Eukaryota; Viridiplantae; Streptophyta; Magnoliopsida; Solanales; Solanaceae
Exons: 2
Source: RefSeq, a predicted model, not a curated record
CCACUAUUGUAGUAUAUAAAAUAACCUGCGAAAGAAAAGUGUUGUGCAACUCUAGACGGAAAAAAUGAGGCAAUGGAGAGGCAUUGGGGAGUCUUUAAUGGUGGUUGCCCCCUCUCUUUUCGCCGUUGAUUUCCUUUUCCAAACAAUUAAACCACCAUUGUUUACAAAAUGCAUAUAUUGCCCCCUAAACUUCGAAAAAUGGGCAGAUUAGCCCCUUGUACUCUCACUUUCCUACCUCUGCACUAUGCCUAGCUUAUUUAGUCACUUUUUUUAAGGCCAAUCCAAACAGGCUCUUAUUAUAAUCACCGGAUAUAUGAGGCUAUGAUGAUGAUAAAUGUUGUUCGUCUAGAUUCGGGUCGGGUAAUCGGAGCAGCCCGUAUCUUGGCGGGGCGACCCGGUAAGGGGUCUGCAGCCAUGGCGGUUGCUUUUUGUCUCCUUUUUGCUCCUCAUUUUAUUACACAUCUGAGCCUCAAAUUAAACUGGAAUCCUAAACCCAAGAACAAGAAUGAGGCUGCAUAGAGAUGGCAAGUUUUCUCCGUCAUUUAGGUUCCGGACUCGACAAGUAACCUGCGAAAGAGAGCAUUCUGCAAUCUAGACAGAAAUAAUGAGGCAACUUAGAGGCAUUGGGGAGUCUGUAAUGGUGGUUGCCCCCUCUCUGUUCCUUUUGCCGAUGAUUUUCUUUCCCAUUUUCACACCAAAAAAAAAAAAAACAAUAAACCACCAUUGUUGAAAAUGUCAAAUACAUAUAUUGCCCCCUAAACUACUUCUGUUUCUUCACUUAUUGUUGACCUCUUCAUCUUCACUAUGGCUAGCUUUUUAAUCACGGAUAUGAGGUUGUGAUGAUAAUGGUGUUGUCUAGAGUUCGGUCGGGCAUCGGAGCUGCCUGUAUCUUGGCGGGGUGACCCGGUAAGGCAUCUCCGCUUUUUGCAACCGAGGUCUGCAGCCGUGGCGGUUGCUUUGUCUCCUUUGCCUGAUUUUAUCACAGAUAUGAGCCUCAAAUUGUUAGUGGAAAAGGGAAAGUGUUCCAUUAUGAUGCAUUCUACUACAAAAAGGGGCUAUGAUGAUGCGUAUAAAUCUUUCUGUUUCUGGGAUGAUCAUGACAUUGAGAUGCCCUGACCCGUAUCUUGGCGUGGCACAAUCUGGUAUGGCCUGUGAUUGCAAACUCCUCUCUCAUGCAACCGGUGUUUUGCAGCCAUAGCGUAUCUGGUUUCUCUUUUGCCUUAUGGCCCUUAUUAUACGCAUCUGAGCCUCAAUUUGCUGAAGAGCUUCAGUUGGCGUUUGGACAAUAUUUGAAUUGAAGCUGAGAAAUUCUUUUAAGAGCCCGUUUGGAUUGGCUUACAGCUUAAAGCUGUUUGCAGCUUAUAAGCUGAAAAAAAUAAGUUGGGGUAGUCCAACUUAUUUUUUUUGGCUUAUAAGCUG